CAGCAGCCACGGUAAUACGUAGGUGGCAAGCGUUGUCCGGAAUUAUUGGGCGUAAAGGGCUCGCAGGCGGUUUCUUAAGUCUGAUGUGAAAGCCCCCGGCUCAACCGGGGAGGGUCAUUGGAAACUGGGAAACUUGAGUGCAGAAGAGGAGAGUGGAAUUCCACGUGUAGCGGUGAAAUGCGUAGAGAUGUGGAGGAACACCAGUGGCGAGGGCGACUCUCUGGUCUGUAGCUGACGCUGAGGAGCGAAAGCGUGGGGAGCGAACAGGAUUAGAGACCCCGGUAGUCCCUGUCUCUUAUAC
RNAcentral lists this ribosomal RNA (301 nucleotides) under uncultured bacterium. RNAcentral describes it as "partial 16S ribosomal RNA". It matches the Rfam family "Bacterial small subunit ribosomal RNA", at positions 509 to 807 of the family's 1533-position model. The record is from RNAcentral.